CCUACGGGUGGCAGCAGUGAGGAAUCUUCGUCAAUGGGCGCGAGCCUGAACGAGCCAAGUAGCGUGAAGGAUGACUGCCCUACGGGUUGUAAACUUCUUUUAUAAAGGAAUAAAGUGAGGCACGUGUGCCUUUUUGUAUGUACUUUAUGAAUAAGGAUCGGCUAACUCCGUUCCAGCCGUCGCGGUACUACGGAGGAUCCGAGCGUUAUACGGAUAUAUUGGGUUUAAAGGGAGCGUAGAUGGGUUGUUAAGUCAGUUGUGAAAGUUUGCGGCUCAACCGUAAAAUUGCAAUUGAUACUGGGAGUCUUGAGUGCAGUUGAGGUAGGCGGAAUUCGUGGUGUAGCGGUGAAAUGCUUAGAUAUCACGAAGAACUCCGAUUGCGAAGGCAGCUUACUAAACUGCCACUGACAUUGAGGCUCGAAAGUGUGGGUAUCAAACAGGAUUAGAUACCCUUGUAGUC
RNAcentral lists this ribosomal RNA (460 nucleotides) under uncultured bacterium. Its description in RNAcentral is "partial 16S ribosomal RNA". It matches the Rfam family "Bacterial small subunit ribosomal RNA", at positions 338 to 795 of the family's 1533-position model. The record is from RNAcentral.